UUUUUUUUUUUUUUUUUUUUUUCUUCAUUUGGCCUCAAGUGAACUCAUGCAUGUGGCUGUACUCUGCAGGAGGAGUGGCUGAGGGCGAGUUGGUCUACAAUUGCCCACGACUGGUGAUUUGUUCUGGCUUUCAGUCGGUGUUGGUUUUUGGUCACAGUUACAGAGAAAAAUGUACACAUGUACCUAGCAGACUAAUUUGGGAUUAUUCAUAUAGUGGCAAUCUUAAGAUUCCCAGAAGCUUCAAGACAGGGUAAACUUCAAUGCUCAAGUGCUUUCCAAGACUCCGAGUUAUCUCACUGACCAAUAUAAGCCACAUUGUCCCAAUGGCAAAGCUCAGAAUUAGGUGAGAGUUGACUAACCAAGGCCAUGGACACAGGGAGAUAAAAGCAAAUUGGAACUGAACAAUCUACCACAUCUAAUCAUGACGUUGGUAUACAGUUUAAAUAAUAUUAUGUACAGGACUCUAUGUUUAUCAAAUGCACAGAUGUAAUAAACAUUCAGUAAAUGGGAAUGAUGAAGAUGAUUAUGCAUAGAUCAUUGCUAAUGUGGCAUAUAUAAUAGUCAUUUACAGUUGAGGAAAAUGUCUCAUGGGGGAGAGGAGAUCUGGAUUCUAGUCUAGCUUUGCUAUUGUAUGAUCUGAAGUAGAGUACUGGGACCAGAGGGACUAUGAGUAGUUUAGGCACAAUGGACAGACAAAUGGUAUUUCUUUAUUAAUUGCUACUUCACUAUAAUUCUUCCACCACCACUUCUACCUUCAUCUCAUAUCCCACCCCACUAUACUGUUCCACAUUACAUGCCCAGCUCACUGCAACCACUUUUUUCUGUCCACCACCUCUGCCACUGCAUACAUGACCUUCUAUAGAACCUCUCACUCCAUGUCGGUUUUCCUGGGUACUUUUUUCUCCGAAUCUGUAACUAUGUUAUUAGAAUGUUUAAGUUUCUUGUAACUGAAUUACCAACUGAAGUGUCUUAAACACUGAGGAAUUAUGACCUCAUAUAGCAGCUCUGUUGUAGGAAGCAGUUAUGAGUUGAUUGAUUGUUUCAAAGACUGAAUAAACAAUGUCAGUGCUAAGAGAUUGCUUCUCUGAGAUCCUCUUUGGUUUUCCCUCACUGCUAUUGCAAGAUGGCCAUUAUAUCUUCCAAGCAUUCUGCUCUCACAAAAAAACAUCUAAAGAAAAGAGAGAAGGGUCUUUUCCCACUCCCCACUUCCGGCCUUCCCUCUCCUUUUGUUUAUUGUCAGAAAGAUAACCUUCUCUCAGAACCUCCUUCCUUAUUUCUCAUUGACUAAAAUGUGAACACAUGAUCAGAAGAAAAGGAGAGUAAGAUUAUUGUUAUCAUGGUUAGAUCAGAUACAUCAUGGUUUAUCUCCUAAAACUAGGAAGGGGCCCAUAUUCCUUGGAUAUAUACAUUGUUCAAGGACAAUUGCUUCUUAAAGGUUUAAUCUUGACUCCCAUAAAAAUAUGAAAUGAACAGGUAUCAAAGAUUUUAUUUAACACAUUAACUAAGGGCAGAACCUGAAAAUGUAUUACAAACAGUUCCAAAGAGAAUCCAAAGACCAAAACAAAUAUGUAAGAUUAUCACAGUUUCUGAAUUUAAUUUAUUUAAUUAGGGCAAAACUGGACUCUUCUACUGUAGAGGGGGUAAGUCAACUGAAUCUCCAAGGAACAGAACUUAUUUGCAUCCCAUAGACAAGAAAUACUUGUUUUACCACCAGUGUUCUAUAAGUUAAUUUCUAUCUCUACAGGAUUGUAAAAUAGCUUGAAGACAAUGAAAAGCACAAAUAACAUAAUAACAGAUUCCUUGAGAGAGUGAGCUCCAAUCAAUACCCAGUUUUCAAUUGGAGACAUCUUAUAGUCUUUUGCUCCACUUAAAAGCUUUUCAAUUUUUUCUUACAAUAUAUGCAAAAUCAUUUUCUUAGCAAGGAAUGUAAGGGAAAUGGCUAUUGGAUAGACAACCAACAGUGUCUGCCACAAUAACAUUGCUGCGAAUUAGGAGGGACAUAAACACAUCGUAAUUUGCAGUGAGGCUUUCACACUGCUCUACAGGGAGCAUUUUGGAGGUAAAUUAUAAACCAGGAGAUACUGGUUGAGGCCAAGAAAGCCUGGUGAUUCUCCCUGAGUCUAAUCCUGAGCCUGUCAUGGGGAUGGGACAGCAACUUUGUAUCCUCACACCUAAGAAGUCGCUAAAAUUGCACAUUAAGAAUUGUAAUCAAGGGCAUUUCUGUCAUGGAGGACAGGACCCUGAAUGACUUCCUUUUGGAAACUGCAGAUUUUGACUUUUCUAAUAUACAUAACCAUUUCUGUUCCCAUUCUACCUCCUUCCUUGAUUUUUUUUUCUGCAUUUAGUGGAAGUUGAAUUCCGAGGGAAUUGUACCAGCGAUCAUAUACUAUUCAUUUCAGUCUGUUGACAGGCAAUUUUUCUGUAGUACCCUGCUGGGGAUUUGAUAGUGAGAGGGGGUGGUGUGAAAAUGUGAUAUCUGGUAUUUUUACAGCUUUUGUCCCCAAUCUGGUGUUUAUAGGCUGCUUUAUCCCUAUGUCUUAUACAAUUUGGGAUACUAUAUUUUUGUACCUUAAUUAGUUUCAAAAUUAAUAAACCAAAUGUUUUAUAUAUUUUUUAAAGUUCCAAACCACAUAGUGGUUUGCUACUGCUGCUAGUGGCUCAGCAAGCCUGUCAUAGGAAAGAAAUCUAGUUAGGCUUUUGCUAAAUGCUACAUUUUACGCAGAUAUAUUUUGCACAUACACUUGUGUUUUUGUCUCUAAUUGUUCCUUGAUAAAGAAUUGCUCACAUUGUAAAGGAAUAACUUUUUUUUACAUGGUUAUAUUGUAACUAUCUAUAUGCUCAUUGACCAUUUCCAAGGCUAAUUCCAAUUCUGCCUAUGAAAACACUGCUUUCUUGGAAUUCCCAUUGUGGUGCAGGUGAAAUGAUUCUGACUAGGAACCAUGAGGCUGCAGGUUCGCUCCCUGGCCUCACUCAGUGGGUUAAGGAUCCGGUGUUGCCAUGAGCUGUGAUAUAGGUCGAAGAUGCAGCUCAGAUUCUGAGUUGCUGUGGCUGUGGAGUAGGCUGGCAGCUAUAGCUCAGUUCAACCCCUAGCCUGGGAACCUCCAUAUGCCAAGGGUACAGCCCUAAAAAGAAAAAAAAGAAAACACUGCUUUCUCAAGGCCAGUGGCUGUCAGAUUUUAAUGCUCAUCAGAAUCACAUGGGGUGUAUGGCAGGUGGUGGGGUGCUUGUUAAAAUACAGAUGGCUGGAUUCCAUACCAGAGUUUAUAAUUUACUAGGUAUGAAUGAACCCAAGAAUUGGCAUUUCUAACAAGUUCCCGAGUGAUGCUGAUGUUGCCAGCGUAUGUUGCCAGUCUGGGGUGAAUAAUUUGAGAACCAGAACUCUAGGCCAAGUACCUUCAGGUCAGAGAAGAUGGUCAGCUCAGGAGGCAGCCUACUUGACCUUCCAUUAUCUUGAUCCAGUGAAAAUAUUGCUAUGAAUGAUCCAAAUGACAAACCAUUAAAAAUCAGUGUACUGCAAUCAUUCUAGGACUUUCAGCUAAUGUUAAUUGUUGGUGUAUGACAUAGAGAGGAGGAAGAGUCUGAACUCAAGACCAGCAGACCCGUAAACCUGAGUACUAUUCUUAGUGUGCACUGUCUAUACCACUUUGGCCCACCACUGUCUCUGUAAGUUUCACUGAUAGACAAAGAUUGUGGACUGCUGGUUGCUUAGGGCCCUUGUAGCCCUGCUCUUUCCUGAAUCUGAUCCUAACCAGAUAUCCAAAGAGUGCACCAGGCCCAUGACCUGCAUGGACAUCUUGAGCCAAGAAAUCUAGCAGGACAGGGCACAGUAUCUGCCUCAGAAGCCAUAGCUGUGGUUUGGCCAACCAUGACUGAGAGAGUGAAGAGAACAGCUAAGGGGAAUUUCAAACUAUUCAAGAAUAUGUGUCCCAGGUGAAAUUAAUCUGAUUAGCAGGGUAUAAACUUUCCUAUCUGAUGGAGCUCUCAGGGAAUUACUAAUGAUCUCAAGCUGCCUGAUACUAUUUUACACCCUUUCACAACUGUGUUCUCAGCAUUUUUUCAGCAUCAAAGUUCCUCAAUUAAAGGAAUAGUACCACCUCCAUCUUUUCAGUCGAAACUCUGGGGGCUUUCCUAGGAAGUGUUCUAGUUAACUAACAGGCCUGCCUCUUCUUGGCUGUAGGCAUAUGAAGUUCACAGAAGAAAGUCGGGACGCUUUUGAUUUCACCCCAUAGUCUUAGAGACUAUGUAAAGCUUAUGGCAAGUAGACAGGAGGGCAGAGACAAUUUGAAGGGACAACUGUUUCUGCAUCUUCUGGUCCAUUGCAUAUGUGUGUAUAUGACAUGCCUUUGCCAAACUGUGGACCUUUAGGUAAAGGGCUGUGCUCUCUCCAUCUUUACCUAAUUAAUAAGUUUGUCUUUUGAGAAGCCUUGGAACAGAAGAGAUUCGUAAGGUUUGCUGUGUGGAUCAACACAUGGAAGAUUGAUUUGCAUGUUUUUCUCAGAAAAUUCUCCAAAAUCCGUAAUGUUAUUAACAAAGGAAGAAUAAACAAUCUUUAUAUGAAACAGGAAGUUAUGUUGAAGGCUCAGAAACUGCAUUGCCUCAAUAAAAACCCAUUUAAUGGAUGGAUAAAUUUUUCUAUAGAAAUUUCAGUGAAAAUGGGAUAGUUUGGUGGCUUGCAAAACUAACAUCUCAAUUUCUAAGUCAUCAUAAACUUUCAUUGGGUCCCAAAAGUAACCAUGCAAUUAAAAAGUAUAUAAGUAAAUGGCUUCCCCUGAUCUUGACUCUGAGUCAUAGAUUUUUUUUAUUCCUCUUUAUUUUAAUAAUAAUACUUAUUAUGAAGAUAAUAAUAACAAUACCAACAUUAAUUGGGCACUAAGACCCAGACCCUGUGAAAAUCUUUUGUUAGUUUAAUACUCAUGGCAAUCUGAGAAGUAGUUACUGUAAUUAUCCUCAGAAAGAUACUUCCUCAAGGGCAUUGAGCUGGUGAUGCAUCAAGGAAGGAUUUUUGCCAAGGAAGUCUUCUGACCCCAGUGCUGUGCUUCUCAUCACUGCACCAUAUGAGAAGUUUGCAGAUAAAGGAACCUUUGGAGAUAUAGCCUAUAGUAGGUUGAAUCAUAGCCCCCAAACAUUUCUACUUCCUUCUGCUUGAAACCUGUGCAUGAAUUACCUCACAUGGAAAAACAGACUUUAUGGUGGUGAUCAAAUUAAGGAUCUUGAGAUGAGGAGCUUAUCCUGGAUUCUCGAUAUGGGCUUACUAUAAUCACAAAGGUCCUAAUAAGAGGAAGACAGGAGGGUCAGAGUAAGACAACAUCAUGGCAUGAGAGGAGCAGAGGUCAGAGUGAGGUAGGGCCAUGAGGCCAGGAAUGGAGGCAGCCUGUACAAGUUGGAAACAGCACAGAGACUUUCCAAAAGUCUCCAGAUGAAACAAAGUUCUCCUGACGCAUUUUGGACUUCUCACCUCCAGAACUAAGAUCAUAAAUUUGUGUUAUUUUGAGACACUAAGUGGUCAUUAUUCCAAAUAUUUGUUUUGAGUAAUUUGUUACAACAGCCAUGGGAAACGGACAUGCCACCGUCAGAAUUAGGCGGUGGCGAUCCUCUGCCCAUGUUAGGAAGACGCUAACGCAAGGCUCCACACCUACUGUAACUGUAUCACAGGCCUUAAUCUACAGAGAAAUGCCCUGUCAAUGUUGAGGCUCCCCAGAUUUGCCUGCUGCUUUCUUUACCAGUACAUAAAUACAUGCCAUUUCAGAAAGUGGAUGCCAUUCCCCACAUCUUCACAGCCAUCAAAAUAGCAAAACAGACUGAAAAUUGCCAUAAUAACACUUUAUUCUUGUCCUCACUUUGACUUAUAAAAUGACUUGCUCACAGAUUUGUAUAAAUCUCUGCUUCCCUUUGCUUCCUCCCUUCUUCCCAGAUCUUUCUUUACCCUCUUUGCUAAGAAAGUAAGCCCCUUAGCAGGUUUCCCUUCACUGACAUAGAUCCUGAGCUUUGUUUUUCUUCCUUUUUAAGUGAGCAUAUUUUUCCCUUUUAAUUAUAUUUAUAACAUGUGUUGGGUUAGCAACAAAAGAGAACUUUGAAAUGACAAACAUAAACAUGAGAAAUGCAGGGUCUAAAUUAAUUCCCCCUCUGAUUUAGAGGAAAGUAUGUUUGGUCCCUAUUUGAGGAUAUCAAAAUCAGGCAGUAGAGAAAAUUGUUUUAAACUUUAAAAAGAAGAGAAAGAAAAUUAAUACCUUUUACAUACCUACUGUCUGUUUGAUGCUUUGUGCGUUCUUUCCUAUUUACUUCUCAUACCAUGUAAAUGUUACAUAUUUCCUGCAUUUUUUGAAGAAGAGUAAAAUAACUGUGCAAGAUCUCAUAGCCUUGAAAGAGGAAAAUCACGUGGUUACUGAAGUCCAGAUUACUGUAAACUCCAUGAAGAGCAGGGUUCUGUCCUAUGCUGCCUCCAAGAUGAAGAGUCUCUUAUCAUCAUGGGCUACCAACAAGUAGCUUUCUGAGAAUGUCCUGAUACUUAUGAGCAGGUUAGGGUCCUACUUUUGUUCAUGCCAUUUCCCUCCCUUUUGGAAGAUGUCUGCUUUCUGAACCAGCCCUCCACUUCUAAGCCUCCUCUUGUCCUCUAGCUUGUGGAAAGUUUUCCUGUUCAUUAAUUCAUUCUUCCCUCUUGUGAACAGGUCACGUUUGAUAGAGAUGAAAUGCAUGGCAGAGAAGGCCCAUGUGACAUUUUCCUGGUGAGCCUGGUCUAUGUACACCAUGCUUCACCCCAGAAUAUGAUGGAUUCUCAUCCACUGGAGAAACAGGAUAGUACUUUGUGGCAUCUCUUGUCAUUAGUUCCAGAUGUUGGUGUCUGUCACAAAUAUAUCUGACCAAGAUGAUACUUUUAUAAUGUUAUCUGAUAUAUAAGGGGGCAAAGCAUAUAUUUGGAUAAGAAAGUAUAGGGGAUCAAAACAGAAUAGUGGAAUAAGGAAAAGUCAUAAAAGGGGGACUUAGUAGGAAAAAGAAAAGCUUUGUGAUUUCAUGUUAAGCAAAUGAGACAAGACUAUGCACUCUUGGAGGUCUGGCAAAUAGUUGGUCCCUUGACAAGCAUAGGCUCUCUUUUUUCCAUUGCACUUUGCAGGUGUAGACCUCAAUGUUGCCUAAAACCAAAAUGGAAUCCUUUUUGACAAGAGAAAGAACAUUUGGUGGACAAUAGGCUGUCUCAGUACAGUGGCUCUUCUGUGUUUGCCUUCUUACCUCCCCCAAUUCAUUUUCUGCUCUACUCUGAGCUCUUUGAGCACGAACUUAUACCUCAUUCAGUCUUCCAUGACUUCAUUGUCUCCUUAGGUUUAGCCCGUGAAAGGCACUAACAGGAGAUUUUAGGGUGGGAGAAAAGAAAAUUUAGGACAUUUCUUUCCUGCUCCCUUCUUAUUAGAUAUUAUAGUCAGGUGAUGUCUAUACCAGUUUAUUGCUAUAGAUAUUGACCCCUUUUCCAUAAAUCCAUCUCUUACUGGGCUUCGGUAACAGUUUCUUUCUUUUGCCCCUCAAUAUGCAGGAGUAGUAGUGACUUUGUGCUAUUGUUAAGCUUUGGGUGCCUCAGCCUCCCUGGUUGGUCACCUUAACCUGCAGGCUCCGAAUGCAAAUAGUUCCUUCAUUAAAAUCUCUUCAACCCAACCAUCUGCGUAUAAAUUGUUUCCUGCUGACACCCCAACUGAGGCACAAUUCCCUUUUCAAAACCUUCUGAAUAGAGAAUUUUCCUGCAAAAAUGAUGAUUUAGUUUUUCAGUUUUGUCCCAGUAUCAGAGCUAGCCAUGUUUUUAAAUCUCAAGUUCAUUUCUUUGCUUGUUUUCCUUUGUAAAUGGAUAAAUAACCUCACCUCUUCCUUGGGAAAAAAAUAAGGUAAAAAAAAAAGUGGCAUGGGUCUUGUCAAAUUAAUGCCUCCCUAGAAAUAAUUUUCAUUGUAGAUAUAGGACCUUACAGUAUGCAGCUUUCUUAACUUAGUACAAAAUAUCUCUGACAGGGGUUUUCCUUGCCAUACAACAGGGUGACAGUGGUGUUCCAUUCUACCUGUUUCUAGGCCCUACCAUGUGGCUUCUAUGGCUGCAUAAUACCUGUGUCCCUAAAUGUCCCAGAUAUUCUUAGAAAAUUUAACAUAGCUAUCUGCAAUAAAAUGUUAUGAAGAGUUGGAAUCUUACUUCAACCAGGCAAAAGCCUGAUUAAAAAGAUCUUGUGCUGGCCCUGAAGGUCAGUAUUUAUGGCACUAUAUUAUUUAUAAAUAAUGUGAAAAUUAUUAUAGCAAUAAAAGUUGGCGUUCCGAAGAAUGGGCAUAUUAGGGAUGGCUAAAUUAUGGUGACAUUGAGAUCAUAGGUCACAUCUGAAGCUUUCUUUCAAACCCAUGGAAAAUUACCACCAACUGGACUGCAAAGCUACAGUGAAGUUUUGAAAGACAUAAAGAAUAGUGAGAAAUUCCUAUACACCAGAGGAAUAAGGAAGGCUAGGUUGACCCAAGAGGCUGGGAGCAUCUUAUUCAGAGAGUAAUUCAGUGCAUUUUCUCAGUCUCAAGAUGGGCAACAUUUCUUCCUAACUCUUUCCUCCCUGAAUCUGAGUAAAGCCCUGCUCCAAUCA
Molecule: long non-coding RNA, 8591 nt
Filed under: Sus scrofa (pig)
Lineage: Eukaryota; Metazoa; Chordata; Mammalia; Artiodactyla; Suidae
Description: lncRNA (ENSSSCG00000061736.1)
Source: RNAcentral